This 331-nucleotide ribosomal RNA is filed under the name uncultured Pseudomonadota bacterium. Its description in RNAcentral is "bacterial SSU rRNA". It matches the Rfam family "Bacterial small subunit ribosomal RNA", at positions 568 to 898 of the family's 1533-position model. The record is from RNAcentral. Lineage: Bacteria; Pseudomonadati; Pseudomonadota.
CGCGUAGGCGGCUUGGUAAGUCGGUGGUGAAAUCCCGCGGCUCAACUGCGGAAUUGCCAUCGAUACUGCCGAGCUUGAAUCCGGGAGAGGUCGGCGGAAUUACUGGUGUAGCGGUGAAAUGCGUAGAUAUCAGUAGGAACACCGAUGGCGAAGGCAGCUGGCUGGACCGGAAUUGACGCUGAGGCGCGAAAGCGUGGGUAGCAAACAGGAUUAGAUACCCUGGUAGUCCACGCCCUAAACGAUGAAUGCUUGCUGUGACCGGCGCAGUGCCGGUUGUGGCGCAGCUAACGCUUUAAGCAUUCCGCCUGGGGAGUACGCACGCAAGUGUGAA